This 480-nucleotide ribosomal RNA is filed under the name uncultured bacterium. RNAcentral describes it as "partial 16S ribosomal RNA". It matches the Rfam family "Bacterial small subunit ribosomal RNA", at positions 28 to 506 of the family's 1533-position model. The record is from RNAcentral.
GACGAACGUUGGCGGCGUGCUUAAUACAUGCAAGUCGACUGAAGCAGUGGUAGCAAUAUCGCUGUGGAGGUGGCGCACGGGUGAGUAACACGUAGGUAAUCUGCCUUCAGGUCUGGCAUAACUCCGGGAAACCGGGGCUAAUAGCAGAUGAUGCAGCGGCUCGACAUCGAGACAGUUGUUAAAGCUCUGGCGCCUGAAGAUGAGCCUGCGUCUGAUUAGCUAGUUGGCGGGGUAACGGCCCACCAAGGCAACGAUCAGUAGCUGGUGUGAGAGGAUGAUCAGCCACACUGGAACUGAGACACGGUCCAGACUCCGACGGGAGGCAGCAGUAAGGAAUAUUGCUCAAUGGGAGAAAUCCUGAAGCAGCAACGCCGCGUGAGGGACGAAGGGCUUUUGCUUGUAAACCUCUGUAGUGAGAGAAAAAAAUACCAAUCUUUGGGACAUGGUGGUAUCUCAAAAGUAAGCCCCGGCUAACUACGU